UGUAAACCAGUGCGGACAGCGGGUGUAAUACGGUGGGGGGAAGCGUUAGCAGGAUUUAUUGGGUUUAAAGGGUCCGUAGGCGGAUUAAUCAGUCAGUGGUGAAAUCUCAUAGCUGAACUAUGAAACUGCCAUUGAUACUGUUAGUCUUGAGUGAUGUUGAAGUUGCUGGAAUGUGUAGUGUAGCGGUGAAAUGCUUAGAUAUUACGCAGAACACCAAUUGCGAAGGCAGGUGACUAAACAUUAACUGACGCUGAUGGACGAAAGCGUGGGGAGCGAACAGGAUUAGAUACCCCGGUAGUC
Molecule: ribosomal RNA, 300 nt
Filed under: uncultured Helicobacter sp.
Lineage: Bacteria; Pseudomonadati; Campylobacterota; Epsilonproteobacteria; Campylobacterales; Helicobacteraceae
Description: bacterial SSU rRNA
Rfam family: Bacterial small subunit ribosomal RNA
Source: RNAcentral